GUGCCUGAGUUCCCUAGCAUUCCCAGAUGAGCCUACAAUAUUUACUUGCUAUGAUCAAGCCAAUGUGGGUGGUGUUGCUUGCUUAGAAUCUGAGAUUAUGAAAAAAUUCUAGGAAAAAUGAGGGCAUAGAAUCUGCUC
This 138-nucleotide small nucleolar RNA is filed under the name Mesocricetus auratus (golden hamster). RNAcentral describes it as "small Cajal body-specific RNA 17 (ENSMAUG00000004162.1)". Lineage: Eukaryota; Metazoa; Chordata; Mammalia; Rodentia; Cricetidae. The record is from RNAcentral.